Molecule: ribosomal RNA, 380 nt
Filed under: uncultured bacterium
Lineage: Bacteria
Description: bacterial SSU rRNA
Rfam family: Bacterial small subunit ribosomal RNA
Source: RNAcentral
AUUGAACGCUGGCGGAAUGCUUUACACAUGCAAGUCGAGCGGCAGCGCGGGGGCAACCCUGGCGGCGAGCGGCGAACGGGUGAGUAACAUAUCGGAACGUACCCCGUCGUGGGGGAUAACACAGCGAAAGCUGUGCUAAUACCGCAUACGACCUGAGGGUGAAAGCGGGGGAUCGCAAGACCUCGCGCGAUGGGAGCGGCCGAUAUCGGAUUAGCUUGUUGGUGAGGUAAAGGCUCACCAAGGCGACGAUCCGUAGCUGGUCUGAGAGGACGACCAGCCACACUGGAACUGAGACACGGUCCAGACUCCUACGGGAGGCAGCAGUGGGGAAUUUUGGACAAUGGGGGCAACCCUGAUCCAGCCAUGCCGCGUGAGUGAAG